RNAcentral lists this ribosomal RNA (734 nucleotides) under Escherichia coli. RNAcentral's name for it is "bacterial SSU rRNA". It matches the Rfam family "Bacterial small subunit ribosomal RNA", at positions 55 to 778 of the family's 1533-position model. Lineage: Bacteria; Pseudomonadati; Pseudomonadota; Gammaproteobacteria; Enterobacterales; Enterobacteriaceae. The record is from RNAcentral.
AUGCAAGUCGAAUGGUAACAGGAAGAAGCUUGCUUCUUUGCUGACGAGUGGCGGACGGGUGAGUAAUGUCUGGGAAACUGCCUGAUGGAGGGGGAUAACUACUGGAAACGGUAGCUAAUACCGCAUAACGUCGCAAGACCAAAGAGGGGGACCUUCGGGCCUCUUGCCAUCGGAUGUGCCCAGAUGGGAUUAGCUAGUAGGUGGGGUAACGGCUCACCUAGGCGACGAUCCCUAGCUGGUCUGAGAGGAUGACCAGCCACACUGGAACUGAGACACGGUCCAGACUCCUACGGGAGGCAGCAGUGGGGAAUAUUGCACAAUGGGCGCAAGCCUGAUGCAGCCAUGCCGCGUGUAUGAAGAAGGCCUUCGGGUUGUAAAGUACUUUCAGCGGGGAGGAAGGGAGUAAAGUUAAUACCUUUGCUCAUUGACGUUACCCGCAGAAGAAGCACCGGCUAACUCCGUGCCAGCAGCCGCGGUAAUACGGAGGGUGCAAGCGUUAAUCGGAAUUACUGGGCGUAAAGCGCACGCAGGCGGUUUGUUAAGUCAGAUGUGAAAUCCCCGGGCUCAACCUGGGAACUGCAUCUGAUACUGGCAAGCUUGAGUCUCGUAGAGGGGGGUAGAAUUCCAGGUGUAGCGGUGAAAUGCGUAGAGAUCUGGAGGAAUACCGGUGGCGAAGGCGGCCCCCUGGACGAAGACUGACGCUCAGGUGCGAAAGCGUGGGGAGCAAACAGGAU